CCUACGGGUGACAGCAGUAGGGAAUCUUCCACAAUGGGCGCAAGCCUGAUGGAGCAACACCGCGUGAGUGAAGAAGGGUUUCGGCUCGUAAAGCUCUGUUGUUGGAGAAGAACGUGCGUGAGAGUAACUGUUCACGAAGUGACGGUAUCCUACCAGAAAGUUACGGCUAACUACGUGCCAGCAGUCGCGGUAAUACGUAGGUGGCAAGCGUUAUCCGGAUUUAUUGGGCGUAAAGCGAGCGCAGGCGGUUGCUUAGGUCUGAUGUGAAAGCCUUCGGCUUAACCGAAGAAGUGCAUCGGAAACCGGGCGACUUGAGUGCAGAAGAGGACAGUGGAACUCGAGGUGUAGCGGUGGAAUGCGUAGAUAUAUGGAAGAACUCCGAUUGCGAAGGCAGCUCACUGGACUGCAACUGACACUGAGGCUCGAAAGUGUGGGUAUCAAACAGGAUUAGAUACCCCAGUAGUC
This 465-nucleotide ribosomal RNA is filed under the name uncultured bacterium. Its description in RNAcentral is "partial 16S ribosomal RNA". It matches the Rfam family "Bacterial small subunit ribosomal RNA", at positions 338 to 795 of the family's 1533-position model. The record is from RNAcentral.